UACGGGGGGAGCAAGCGUUGUUCGGAUUUACUGGGCGUAAAGGGCGCGUAGGCGGCUUAACAAGUCACUUGUGAAAUCUCCGGGCUUAACUCGGGACGGCCAAGUGAAACUGUCAAGCUAGAGUGCAGAAGGGGCAAUCGGAAUUCUUGGUGUAGCGGUGAAAUGCGUAGAUAUCGUAAGGAAGACCAGUGGCGAAGGCGAGUCUGUGGACAGUUACUGACGCUGAGGCACGAAGGCCAGGGGAGCAAACGGG
This 253-nucleotide ribosomal RNA is filed under the name uncultured bacterium. Its description in RNAcentral is "partial 16S ribosomal RNA". It matches the Rfam family "Bacterial small subunit ribosomal RNA", at positions 524 to 776 of the family's 1533-position model. The record is from RNAcentral.